GCUAGGGUAGCUCAGUCAGUAGAGCAAGAGACUCUUAAUCUGAGGGUCGUGGGUUUGAGCCCCACGUUGGGCA
This is a non-coding RNA of Podarcis lilfordi (Lilford's wall lizard), 73 nucleotides long. NCBI's taxonomy places the organism in Eukaryota, Metazoa, Chordata, Lepidosauria, Squamata, Lacertidae. The record is from the annotation of a GenBank genome assembly.